GAUUAUUUAGUUUAAAAUUAAAACAAAUGUUUUGAAAGCAUUAAAUAGGGUUUCCUAGUAAUCU
RNAcentral lists this transfer RNA (64 nucleotides) under Arcotheres purpureus. RNAcentral describes it as "tRNA-Ser". It matches the Rfam family "tRNA". Rfam says of the family: Transfer RNA (tRNA) molecules are approximately 80 nucleotides in length. Their secondary structure includes four short double-helical elements and three loops (D, anti-codon, and T loops). The record is from RNAcentral. Lineage: Eukaryota; Metazoa; Arthropoda; Malacostraca; Decapoda; Pinnotheridae.